Molecule: ribosomal RNA, 495 nt
Filed under: uncultured bacterium
Lineage: Bacteria
Description: partial 16S ribosomal RNA
Rfam family: Bacterial small subunit ribosomal RNA
Source: RNAcentral
GACGAACGCUGGCGGCGUGCCUAAUACAUGCAAGUAGAACGCUGAAGGAGGAGCUUGCUUCUCCGGAUGAGUUGCGAACGGGUGAGUAACGCGUAGGUAACCUGCCUGGUAGCGGGGGAUAACUAUUGGAAACGAUAGCUAAUACCGCAUAACAGUAGAUAUUGCAUGAUAUCUGCUUGAAAGGUGCAAUUGCAUCACUACCAGAUGGACCUGCGUUGUAUUAGCUAGUUGGUGAGGUAACGGCUCACCAAGGCGACGAUACAUAGCCGACCUGAGAGGGUGAUCGGCCACACUGGGACUGAGACACGGCCCAGACUCCUACGGGAGGCAGCAGUAGGGAAUCUUCGGCAAUGGACGGAAGUCUGACCGAGCAACGCCGCGUGAGUGAAGAAGGUUUUUGGAUCGUAAAGCUCUGUUGUAAGAGAAGAACGAGUGUGAGAGUGGAAAGUUCACACUGUGACGGUAUCUUACCAGAAAGGGACGGCUAACUACGUG